RNAcentral lists this non-coding RNA (29 nucleotides) under Rattus norvegicus (Norway rat). The record is from RNAcentral. Lineage: Eukaryota; Metazoa; Chordata; Mammalia; Rodentia; Muridae.
UAGAAACUAAGAGCAGAUUUUCAGAUGUG